CCUACGGGAGGCAGCAGUGGGGAAUCUUGCGCAAUGGGCGAAAGCCUGACGCAGCCAUGCCGCGUGAAUGAUGAAGGUCUUAGGAUUGUAAAAUUCUUUCACCGGGGACGAUAAUGACGGUACCCGGAGAAGAAGCCCCGGCUAACUUCGUGCCAGCAGCCGCGGUAAUACGAAGGGGGCUAGCGUUGCUCGGAAUUACUGGGCGUAAAGGGAGCGUAGGCGGAUAGUUUAGUCAGAGGUGAAAGCCCAGGGCUCAACCUUGGAAUUGCCUUUGAUACUGGCUAUCUUGAGUACGGAAGAGGUAUGUGGAACUCCGAGUGUAGAGGUGAAAUUCGUAGAUAUUCGGAAGAACACCAGUGGCGAAGGCGACAUACUGGUCCGUUACUGACGCUGAGGCUCGAAAGCGUGGGGAGCAAACAGGAUUAGAUACCCUGGUAGUCCACGCUGUAAACGAUGAGUGCUAGUUGUCGGCAUGCAUGNAUGUCGGUGACGCAGACUACGACUAUAGACACCGCCGCCGUCGGGAGGUACGGUCGACGAAGAAAGUUAAACGUAACGUAAAGUUAAAGUUAGUACGUUCGUUAGAGAGCGACGACGGACGACGACGAGGGAGGAGG
Molecule: ribosomal RNA, 617 nt
Filed under: uncultured bacterium
Lineage: Bacteria
Description: bacterial SSU rRNA
Rfam family: Bacterial small subunit ribosomal RNA (bases 1-516)
Source: RNAcentral